RNAcentral lists this ribosomal RNA (456 nucleotides) under uncultured bacterium. Its description in RNAcentral is "partial 16S ribosomal RNA". It matches the Rfam family "Bacterial small subunit ribosomal RNA", at positions 355 to 802 of the family's 1533-position model. The record is from RNAcentral.
UGGGGAAUAUUGGACAAUGGGCGAAAGCCUGAUCCAGCCAUGCCGCGUGUGUGAAGAAGGUCUUCGGAUUGUAAAGCACUUUAAGUUGGGAGGAAGGGCAGUAAAUUAAUACUUUGCUGUUUUGACGUUACCGACAGAAUAAGCACCGGCUAACUCUGUGCCAGCAGCCGCGGUAAUACAGAGGGUGCAAGCGUUAAUCGGAAUUACUGGGCGUAAAGCGCGCGUAGGUGGUUCGUUAAGUUGGAUGUGAAAUCCCCGGGCUCAACCUGGGAACUGCAUUCAAAACUGACGAGCUAGAGUAUGGUAGAGGGUGGUGGAAUUUCCUGUGUAGCGGUGAAAUGCGUAGAUAUAGGAAGGAACACCAGUGGCGAAGGCGACCACCUGGACUGAUACUGACACUGAGGUGCGAAAGCGUGGGGAGCAAAACAGGAUUAGAUACCCUGGUAGUCCACGCCG